GACGAACCGUGCGAACGUUGUUCGGAAUCACUGGGCUUAAAGGGCGCGUAGGCGGGCGAUCAAGUCAGGGGUGAAAUCCUCCGGCUCAACCGGAGAACUGCCUUUGAUACUGGCCGUCUCGAGUGAGGUAGGGGUAUGCGGAACUGAUGGUGGAGCGGUGAAAUGUGUUGAUAUCAUCAGGAACUCCGGUGGCGAAAGCGGCGUACUGGACCUCAACUGACGCUGAUGCGCGAAAGCUAGGGGAGCGAACGGG
RNAcentral lists this ribosomal RNA (253 nucleotides) under uncultured bacterium. RNAcentral describes it as "partial 16S ribosomal RNA". It matches the Rfam family "Bacterial small subunit ribosomal RNA", at positions 524 to 776 of the family's 1533-position model. The record is from RNAcentral.